GCAGGCGAGAAUACUGUGCAAUGCGCGAAAGCGCGACACGGGGAGCUUGAGUGUUUUGGCAUAGCCAAGACUUUUCUCAUUCCUAAAAAGCAUGAGGAAUAAGUGCUGGGUAAGACGGGUGCCAGCCGCCGCGGUAACACCCGCAGCACAAGUGGUGGUCACUUUUAUUGAGCCUAAAGCGUUCGUAGCCGGUUUUGUAAAUCUUUAGAUAAAGCCUGAAGCUUAACUCCAGAAAGUCUAAAGAGACUGCAAGACUUGAGAUCGGGUGAGGUUAAACGUACUUUCAGGGUAGGGGUAAAAUCCUGUAAUCCCGGAAGGACGACCAGUGGCGAAAGCGUUUAACUAGAACGAAUCUGACGGUAAGGAACGAAGGCUAGGGUAGCAAACCGGAUUAGAUACCCCCGUAGUCC
Molecule: ribosomal RNA, 410 nt
Filed under: uncultured bacterium
Lineage: Bacteria
Description: bacterial SSU rRNA
Rfam family: Archaeal small subunit ribosomal RNA
Source: RNAcentral